UACGGGGGGGCAAGCGUUGUUCGGAAUUACUGGGCGUAAAGGGCUCGUAGGUGGCCAACUAAGUCAGACGUGAAAUCCCUCGGCUUAACCGGGGAACUGCGUCUGAUACUGGAUGGCUAGAGUUUGGGAGAGGGAUGCGGAAUUCCAGGUGUAGCGGUGAAAUGCGUAGAUAUCUGGAGGAACACCGGUGGCGAAGGCGGCAUCCUGGACCAACACUGACACUGAGGAGCGAAAGCCAGGGGAGCAAACGGG
This 252-nucleotide ribosomal RNA is filed under the name uncultured bacterium. RNAcentral describes it as "partial 16S ribosomal RNA". It matches the Rfam family "Bacterial small subunit ribosomal RNA", at positions 524 to 776 of the family's 1533-position model. The record is from RNAcentral.